Molecule: ribosomal RNA, 720 nt
Filed under: Streptomyces sp. R-Ac150
Lineage: Bacteria; Bacillati; Actinomycetota; Actinomycetes; Kitasatosporales; Streptomycetaceae
Description: bacterial SSU rRNA
Rfam family: Bacterial small subunit ribosomal RNA
Source: RNAcentral
GGCUCUGGACGAACGCUGGCGGCGUGCUUAACACAUGCAAGUCGAACGAUGAACCACUUCGGUGGGGAUUAGUGGCGAACGGGUGAGUAACACGUGGGCAAUCUGCCCUUCACUCUGGGACAAGCCCUGGAAACGGGGUCUAAUACCGGAUAACACUCCCGCCCGCAUGGGCGGGGGUUGAAAGCUCCGGCGGUGAAGGAUGAGCCCGCGGCCUAUCAGCUUGUUGGUGAGGUAGUGGCUCACCAAGGCGACGACGGGUAGCCGGCCUGAGAGGGCGACCGGCCACACUGGGACUGAGACACGGCCCAGACUCCUACGGGAGGCAGCAGUGGGGAAUAUUGCACAAUGGGCGCAAGCCUGAUGCAGCGACGCCGCGUGAGGGAUGACGGCCUUCGGGUUGUAAACCUCUUUCAGCAGGGAAGAAGCGCAAGUGACGGUACCUGCAGAAGAAGCGCCGGCUAACUACGUGCCAGCAGCCGCGGUAAUACGUAGGGCGCAAGCGUUGUCCGGAAUUAUUGGGCGUAAAGAGCUCGUAGGCGGCUUGUCACGUCGGGUGUGAAAGCCCGGGGCUUAACCCCGGGUCUGCAUUCGAUACGGGCUAGCUAGAGUGUGGUAGGGGAGAUCGGAAUUCCUGGUGUAGCGGUGAAAUGCGCAGAUAUCAGGAGGAACACCGGUGGCGAAGGCGGAUCUCUGGGCCAUUACUGACGCUGAGGAGCGAAA